This 484-nucleotide ribosomal RNA is filed under the name uncultured bacterium. Its description in RNAcentral is "partial 16S ribosomal RNA". It matches the Rfam family "Bacterial small subunit ribosomal RNA", at positions 30 to 507 of the family's 1533-position model. The record is from RNAcentral.
AUUGAACGCUGGCGGCAGGCCUAACACAUGCAAGUCGAGCGGAUGAAGGGAGCUUGCUCCUGGAUUCAGCGGCGGACGGGUGAGUAAUGCCUAGGAAUCUGCCUGGUAGUGGAGGAUAACGUCCGGAAACGGGCGCUAGUACCGCAUACGUCCUGAGGGAGAAAGUGGGGGAUCUUCGGACCUCACGCUAUCAGAUGAGCCUAGGUCGGAUUAGCUAGUUGGUGGGGUAAAGGCCUACCAAGGCGACGAUCCGUAACUGGUCUGAGAGGAUGAUCAGUCACACUGGAACUGAGACACGGUCCAGACUCCUACGGGAGGCAGCAGUGGGGAAUAUUGGACAAAGGGCGAAAGCCUGAUCCAGCCAUGCCGCGUGUGUGAAGAAGGUCUUCGGAUUGUAAAGCACUUUAAGUUGGGAGGAAGGGCAGUAAGUUAAUACCUUGCUGUUUUGACGUUACCAACAGAAUAAGCACCGGCUAACUUCGUG